RNAcentral lists this non-coding RNA (110 nucleotides) under Peromyscus maniculatus bairdii (prairie deer mouse). Lineage: Eukaryota; Metazoa; Chordata; Mammalia; Rodentia; Cricetidae. The record is from RNAcentral.
AUGUCCUGUGAAAGGAGAGGUUAGCUCUCCCUGACAGAGAUGGAAGCCUCACAACACACACGGAGCUAAGGCACUGGCACCGAGGUGGUGAGAUCUAAUCACGGUCUUUA